AAAGAAAGUUAAUGUAAACAAAGCUCCUGGGCCUGAAGGUAUUCAUCCACGAGUACUUCACCCCUUAAGGACGGUGGGAGUUCUAUGCCAUCCUUAAGGGGUGGUCCUAAAUACAGCAAGGCCACUUAGAACAUCCCCGCUGUCCUUAAUAUCCAUCGGGUCCCCACUGCAUCCGCCAGCGGAUGCGAUCCUGGGGACUGCCUGGGAGCCCAGUUAGUCCC
Molecule: non-coding RNA, 221 nt
Organism: Pelobates cultripes (western spadefoot toad)
Lineage: Eukaryota; Metazoa; Chordata; Amphibia; Anura; Pelobatidae
Source: the annotation of a GenBank genome assembly